AUAUCACUUAAGAUCUCUGAGUCAUCGUAUUCCUAUAUCACAUACCAAUCUUUCAAAGGUUGUAGCAGGCUUAACAUCUUCUGGUGUUCGAACUAUUCGUCAAAAGACUUGACGUUUUGAAGCAUUGUUGAUGCUACAACAUCGGAAUAAAAAAUGCAGAAAAGACAGAGCUGAUAGUGAUAGAUUUUUACCCGAGAAUUUAAUGUAGUAAAACACAGAUUCACCUUAAAUUAAGUUGGACCCCGUUUUAUCCAUUUUGGUUGCACUAAAAUUGAAGAGGAGUAUAAAAGUUUGCAUUCAAGGUUGCCUCCAUUCAUUAUUCAUCAAUCCCUAGAGAUAACAAGACAAGAGAUGAGGGAAGACACUUGGAGAGAAACUUGAAGAAAACAAAACGGGAGCUGAUACAGUGAAGGGUUGCUAUUAUUCUUCAUUUUCUUCUUCUUUUGUACUUUACUCUUAAGUACACGGGCAUUGUAUGCUCUCCUUCCCUUUUCUUGUAUGAUAUUGCGUAGCUAAGUUCAUUGUUAGGGGGAGGAUGUUGUGAACUUGUUAUUGGGUUGUAAACCUUGCUUUAG
Molecule: non-coding RNA, 575 nt
Organism: Momordica charantia (bitter melon)
Lineage: Eukaryota; Viridiplantae; Streptophyta; Magnoliopsida; Cucurbitales; Cucurbitaceae
Source: RefSeq, a predicted model, not a curated record